Molecule: small nuclear RNA, 104 nt
Organism: Jaculus jaculus (lesser Egyptian jerboa)
Lineage: Eukaryota; Metazoa; Chordata; Mammalia; Rodentia; Dipodidae
Source: RefSeq, a predicted model, not a curated record
GUGCUCACUUCGGCAGCACAUAUACUAAAAUUGGAAUGGUACAGAGAUGAGCCUGGCCCUUGCACAAGGAUGACACGCAAAUUCGUAAAUUGUUCCGUAUUUUU